GGAGAGGUGGCCGAGCGGUUUAAGGUACCUGACUCGAAAUCAGGCGUAGGGAAACCUACCGUGGGUUCGAAUCCCACCCUCUCCGCCA
RNAcentral lists this transfer RNA (88 nucleotides) under Rhodocyclaceae bacterium. RNAcentral describes it as "tRNA-Ser". It matches the Rfam family "tRNA". Rfam says of the family: Transfer RNA (tRNA) molecules are approximately 80 nucleotides in length. Lineage: Bacteria; Pseudomonadati; Pseudomonadota; Betaproteobacteria; Rhodocyclales; Rhodocyclaceae. The record is from RNAcentral.